GGUGGAUGUCCCUUUUCACUAAAUAAUUACUCGGCCAAAACUUGACAAAUUACAAUGUAUUUCAACAGAGUUCAGCAUAUUACAGAUGCAUACAACAAAUCCUGUCUCGGUGUACAACAGAAACUACAACAGGCUGUAAUUAGAAAACUCAUUAAAAAAAUAAAAUGACUUCCAAUAUAUGUUGUUCAAUGCAGCGUGUUAAUCUUCUCAUCCAAAAUCAAGCCUCUCCAGAAUAUGUGCAAUAGGAUGAAACAAAAGAAAAUCUCCUUACCAGCAAAGUUUUCUUGGGGUUUGAACAUUCAAGGGCCAAGACAUGCCACAUCAGAAGAAAAGUAUCCAGGUUUCAGUAAGUGAUUAAGAUUUCCCAUCUAGAAGAUUUGCGACAGAUAGCUUUCUUAGCUUCCUGUCAUGGUUAAGCAUGGCACUAACACUCUCAACCAGCAAAAUAAUCUGCAAAAAUAAUAUUUAAAAAAUAAUGAAAGGAGAAGAAAACAAAGAUUAGUAUGUGGAUUAAAGACGUAAGAACAUUCUAAAGAUGCAUCAACUGACUAGUGAAUCAAAAUCAUUCACAUGCCUCACCAAGAUUUCAAGUCCUAAGCAAAUCUUUGUUCCAUUAUAAAAACUUUUGAGCUGAGCUAAGCGAAUCUUUGUAUAUAUCUAAAACCAAGAAAAUUGGAUUUAGCAAAUAUCUAGAUGCUAUCUUGUUAGAUUGACAUUGCCACAAUUUUUUAACUAGAAGCAUAACUAUUUUUAAUAGUUUAGAUCAGAGAACAAACUUGAGGUUACCAUGCAUAACUUACAAUAGAAAAAUCAAAUGACUCUUAAAGAUAUUUACUUAUGAAAUUUUCUCGGGCAUUUUUAAGAAAUAAAUCAAUUAUUAACUUAUAUCAUUGGAUAAUUUGGUUUGCUGAAGUUCAAUUAAGAUUCAGAAAUUUGGUAGAACAAUUGGUGGAACUCAGUAAAACACUGGUGGGCACCAUGCCAACAAAAUCAAACUUGAGGGUGUAAGAAUCACAAAAAUGAUUAUCUCCAUCAUAAAUCCAUGUUCAACGAUACUUAUGAACCAAGUGAAAGUUACCUUUAUAGUCAAUAUAAACUUUAUAAAGAAUCAUCAAAUACCCUCAAAUAACAAUGACCAUUACUUUUUUAGUCACUAUAACCUUUAUAAAGAAUCAUCAAAUACCCUCAAAUAACAAUGACCAUUACUUUUUUAGUCACUAUAAC
This 1224-nucleotide unclassified non-coding RNA is filed under the name Hevea brasiliensis (rubber tree). Lineage: Eukaryota; Viridiplantae; Streptophyta; Magnoliopsida; Malpighiales; Euphorbiaceae. The record is from RNAcentral.